Molecule: long non-coding RNA, 1667 nt
Organism: Folsomia candida
Lineage: Eukaryota; Metazoa; Arthropoda; Collembola; Entomobryomorpha; Isotomidae
Exons: 2
Source: RefSeq, a predicted model, not a curated record
UUUCGCAAAUUUUAUCCUAAUUAAAUUUGUCAUCGAUUGACACUAAUUUGCCCAAAAUCGGAGAGCACCCACUGGGAGACCUCCAUUGUUAAUAAUUAGCUGAAGCAUUAAUUUUGGCAAUUUAGUAUUUCUCGUGGAUUUUCGAAUCCUUGUUAUAAAAGAAAGAAGAAGAAGAACAUCAUCAUUUUAUAACCAUUUUAAGAAAAUCAUGUCAUCGUAACAAAAGUUAGUUAGAUAGCUUAGCUAAUUAUGUAAAUUAGUAAAUAGUUAAUCGUUAUCAAAAAUCCUAGAAAUUUUUAGGAGUAUUAUUACAGUAAAAUCGAGAUGAUUUAGCAACGUGCCAGCCACACGCACGCCGAUCGCAUCACCAAAAUUUAGAAAAAUUUUGUCUCACCAACCAAUUUUUAGAAAUUGGGUAGAUUUUCAAAAAGUAAAAUUUUCUAGACUUUUGUAGCAAACUAAAUUUUAAGAGGUAUUCAUGAUAAGGGGAAGAAUUUAAUAGUAAUUAAUUAAUUGAUUAAUUAAAUAGCAUAUACCAAUUAAUUAAUUAAAUUGGUUACUUAAUAAUUCUUGAAACUCAGGCUUAUCGAAUACCUCAGAAGAAAGAUAAGAAUUUGAUAUUUUAAGUUCUGUGAUGAUGAUGAUUAGAUUUAGAUUUACAUAGAUUCUUGUCAUUUUAAUUAGUAAUUAAUUAUGUACUAAUUAUUAAUUACUUACUAACAACGGGAAAAUUUAGGAACAAAAUUGCCUCCAAAAUUUUACGAGUAGUUAAUUAACUAACUAAUUAACUAACAACCUGCAGAAAUAUCAGGAUCUUUAUGUCCAAAUUAAAUCCUAUCCGUGGUACCUUUAUAAAAAACCUUAAAAUAACUAAUUAAUUACCCACAAAAUUAUACAAUUAAUAUUUUUAUGCGUGAGAGAAAACAAGACAGAGUAUAAAAAAAUGUAAAACAAAAUUUAACAAAUGCACAAUCAUUCGUAAAUAUUAAAAAAAAAUACUUGACUUGGGCCAGGCCAGAGGGGAAUAAUUUCGAAAAUAAUUUGAAACAUCGAAUUGAAUUGAAAAUUUCCACAUUUUUGGGGAAAAGAUGAAUCAUCGUCAAAAUCAUUGAAUGACAACUAAUUUUUGAUCAGAUAAUUUCGGAAAGUUUGAAAAAUUUGUGAUUUUUCUUCCAUAAUUGUUGUAAACGAAUUUUGGGAAGAAUUUUUUUGUGAUGUAAUUAAUAUAUUUAGUUGUAAAUGAAUAGCAGUAUUGAACUGGUGGAUAAGCACGGAAUUCGUAAUUGUAGAAGAUAAUCUUCACGAUAAGUUAAAAGCUUAUCAAGUUAAGAAGGUUGAUUGAUUGAUAUUGUGUGAAAAUCAUGAAUUUCGAAUUUUAUGUAUUGUAUUCCACUAGGAAAAAGAAGUCACUUUUUAGCCGUUGAUAAAAAUUUCUCUCGUUUAGUUAAUUAAGUAGAUUUUAAUUAAUUAAACAUUAAUUAAUCGAUUUAUGGAUGUCAGUUGAGGGUCAAAAUUUGCAAAAAAAAAGAAUAUUUACAAAGCUUAUUACACACACCGACACUGAAAAAACAUGCACUUUUAAAACUUUUUCGGGGCUAAAGUUUUAAAGCAGAAGGAGAGACUGAAAUUAUUAUAUUGUAUGUAAAUCUUUAAAAAAUCUAUACAGU